UUGCCCAGGAGUGGGAGUUUGAGUUGCGUUGUAUUUUUUUUUUUUAACAGUCAUAAUGAUAACAAUUCCACCUAAAUAUUUUCGAAUUCUUGGCUACGUUUACGGCUAUUUUGGGGCAAUAUGCACUUUUUUCGAUGUUGUGGAUAGAAUAUAUUACAAUUAUAAAGCUAACACGCACGACAUUUUAUAUUAUAUCUCACCAUCAAUAAGUUUCGUUAUUUUAAUUUUCUUUAUAAUUUUACUGGUUGGAAUUCGUAAGAACAAUCUUAUUCUGGUAAAAAUACAUCGAGCGUUUCAUCAUGUUAUAUAUCUGCUUGCUAUAGCAUGUUUAUUAUUUGGCACAAUAUAUGGUGUGUUGUUUAAGAUGCUAACGGAUGAAAAAGUAUCUAACGAUUUCAUACAGCUCCUUGCCACGGCACUUGUGAUGUUCAUAGGCAUCUAUCUUCUCUGCUUGUGGAUCAUCAAAGGAGUAAUUGGAGCUAUACAGCAUGAAGAGAGUUCAAAUGAAACAGUGUUUUAUCACUUAGAAGCUAGUAACAAGCAGGAGAUUUGAUCUUACAAAAA
This is a long non-coding RNA of Culex pipiens pallens (northern house mosquito), 564 nucleotides long. RefSeq lists it as uncharacterized. Lineage: Eukaryota; Metazoa; Arthropoda; Insecta; Diptera; Culicidae. The transcript has 4 exons. The record is from RefSeq and is a predicted model, not a curated record.